RNAcentral lists this signal recognition particle RNA (295 nucleotides) under uncultured Methanobrevibacter sp. RNAcentral describes it as "Archaeal signal recognition particle RNA". It matches the Rfam family "Archaeal signal recognition particle RNA". The record is from RNAcentral. Lineage: Archaea; Methanobacteriati; Methanobacteriota; Methanobacteria; Methanobacteriales; Methanobacteriaceae.
UGGCUAGACUGGAGGGUUAGGAGUCCUCUGUAAACACAAAUCUCCUUUGGUGUAGUCGAAAUUUAGGAGGCGGCAUGUGGAUUUAAUUGCGGCCUGUAAAAUUAAUGCUGAAACUUCGUCCUGCAGGAUCAAUGGUGACAAAAGUCUUACUGGAGGGUAAUUCUCAAUUGUCUUAGUUUUGGGAACGUGUCAGGCCUGGAAAGGAGCAGCUCUACCAAUUACAGCUGAUGCUUGUAGAACCGCGAGGUGGAGUUAGUUUUGCAGAUAACUGUUAUUAAUGAAGUGUGUCCACUCC